GGUUUAGCUCAGUCGGUAGAGCAUCGGUCUCCAAAACCGAGUGUCGGGAGUUCGAGUCUCUCAACC
This 66-nucleotide transfer RNA is filed under the name human gut metagenome. It matches the Rfam family "tRNA". From Rfam's summary of the family: Transfer RNA (tRNA) molecules are approximately 80 nucleotides in length. Their secondary structure includes four short double-helical elements and three loops (D, anti-codon, and T loops). RNAcentral also lists the same sequence under 1 other name. The record is from RNAcentral.